Long non-coding RNA from Pogoniulus pusillus (Red-fronted tinkerbird), 1023 nucleotides. RefSeq lists it as uncharacterized. NCBI's taxonomy places the organism in Eukaryota, Metazoa, Chordata, Aves, Piciformes, Lybiidae. The transcript is spliced from 4 exons. The record is from RefSeq and is a predicted model, not a curated record.
CAGCCGCGGGGGGCUGCCGGCGGCGGUUCGCCUGGGUCGGUGGUGGCUCCCUGGGCUGCGGCUUUGCCUCAGGGGAGCGGGAACUGGCGCGGGCCGGACGAACCCCCAGACGCCUUCACUGGGCGGACGGUUCUUCCCGCUGCUGGUGCAGCCCCUGAGGGUAGGGGUCUGGCAGCCCGGGUUGCGGGCAACAUCUGCUGCCUUGGGGUGGUGGUGAACUGGUGGCAUCUGGGCCACCAGUGAGUUCUACUUACGUGCUUCAGCCACAAGUUGGUUUCCAUGAUCUGGUUGACUUCAUCCUGGAAAAGAGAGAGGUGUUAGGAGAGGCGCCGGCCCUCCUGCCUCUCCGGGGCGCCCUGACGCGGUGGGUACUCACCACCUUCACCAGCUGGGACAUGGACACUUCGAACUGAAUGAUGACAGGAUCCGAGACGUUCUUGACGGGACGGACGAACCGGUUGUAGCUCUGGAAGAGGGCCUCGUAGAGCCGGUGCUCAGCCUCGGAGCCGCCGCAGCCUGCAAGGGGCACGGCGGGGUGAGCGGUGGCAGGGGCAGACGCAGCCUCCCAGGCAGCCCCCCGGUUUGGGCAGCUUGGCCGAGUCCCAACUAGAAAUGAGCAAAAGCUUCAAAGAUCAGCUCAUAGCCCAUGUUCCCCAGAAGUCUGUGCUUAAACUUGAAUGAUUUGGAAACAUUGGAUCUGCAGAGACAGCAAAGAGCCAUUGUAUCAAGAGAUACAGAACAGUAAGUCAAAUUCUACUUCUCAUUUUCCUACUCUAAAUGCGAUGUGACAUAACUCAGUCGGACUCCAGUCUGUGGAUUGAAGAGAGAGGAACUGAGAGCAGAACGAGACUCAACGUCUGUUAAUUUCAGUUAAUAGAAAACAUGAACUACUCAUCAGCGUGCUCCUCGGGGGACUUCCGCAAGACCAGAAACCACACUUACUUAAUCUGCUUGGCUGAGAGAGGGAGAGCACAAUAGGAACAGAGAACCUAGAGUCUGAGUGGGAUAUGGAUUGGAGAAAAG